UUUAAUAUGGCAGAAUAGUGCAAAGGCCUUAAAAUCCUUAUAUAAAGAUACUAAAUCUUUUAUUAAAA
Molecule: transfer RNA, 68 nt
Filed under: Vollenhovia yambaru
Lineage: Eukaryota; Metazoa; Arthropoda; Insecta; Hymenoptera; Formicidae
Description: tRNA-Leu
Rfam family: tRNA
About the family: Transfer RNA (tRNA) molecules are approximately 80 nucleotides in length. Their secondary structure includes four short double-helical elements and three loops (D, anti-codon, and T loops). Further hydrogen bonds mediate the characteristic L-shaped molecular structure. tRNAs have two regions of fundamental functional importance: the anti-codon, which is responsible for specific mRNA codon recognition, and the 3' end, to which the tRNAs corresponding amino acid is attached (by aminoacyl-tRNA synthetases). tRNAs cope with the degeneracy of the genetic code in two manners: having more than one tRNA (with a specific anti-codon) for a particular amino acid; and 'wobble' base-pairing, i.e. permitting non-standard base-pairing at the 3rd anti-codon position.
Source: RNAcentral